UAUGGUUUCCAAUUGUUAGUUUUCCUUCCCUUUCUUCGGCCUUUAUUCUUUCAAUGUAUGUAUCUUCUCAAAUAUAUUUUAAUAACCAAAUCUCCCGCAACAACGUGCGGGGUAUUGUCUAGUUCAUCAUGUUUACGAUUACAAAUAACAAAGUUAUCUAAUAAAUCCAUCCUUACGAUUACAAAUAAAAUUCGUCCAGACAAUUGAAUGCCACUUAGCACUAAGUAACCAGCGGCAUGAAACAUUUUAGAAAUCACUAUUAUUUUCGAGAAAUCACUAUUAUAAAACUGAGUGCUGCUGUAGUUGAAAACUGAGUACCACCGAACUCGAAAAGUGUGUACUGCCGAACUUGAUCUUCAAUUAGCUUAAUUUGCAGAUGACCAGAGAUCUCCCAUCAAGUUACUUGUUCAGCCAUCUCUCCAGGACUAUAGCGACUAAAACAUUCUUAUCCAUGGCCUGGAAGCAACGUAGUAUACUGUUAAUUUUACUGUAGCCUUUAGGUUCACUUUUCUUCUCACCAAAACCUGAACUUUGCUACUGGCUAUUUGUAAAAGAAGGUCUGAAAUUUCAAUUUAACAUUACUCAUACCAACCAUAAAUACAGAGACAUUACUCUCUAUCCCUCAUACAUUAGCCGUCAACCACUUGUACAUAUGCCUGAAAAACAGAAUAUUUUUAGUUCUCAGAAGUAUAACACCAAACAUGUAGAGGCCCCCAACAGACAAGCACACUGAACACUAUAGGAUUAACAUCACUAUGCUAAACUGGUAGUGUUGAAAUCAAAGAUAUCUCAUAGAGAUAUUUUAUGUACCAAAUUAAUCAUAAUCACAUGAACACAUAACACAGAGGCUGCAGGUAUGAAUCAAAAGUAUACAGAGAAACAAGAAAAAAAAAGCAAAAACUCUGAAACAAAACAAGUCGUGCCAAUUACAAUGGUGGGAGUCAUCAUAUUGAAAUAGUCUGUGUCUUCUAACUAUUUACGCCAUUGUCUAAGUGUAGUAAUCUGGCACGAGAGAGUGCUAUCUAAAAUAAAACACACGCAUCUUAAGUCACUUCAACAUGGAUUUUCUUAAUACUACUAGAAGUCGUGUUACUAAACUUCAUCGCUGUGUGAUGAAACAAAAGGAGCUAACAAUUUGAGGUUAAUAACGUUGUAAGUAAAAACCUGAAAAGCAAUUGAAGUUCAUGAAACUAGUAGGCUCGUUCACAACUAACAUUAGUGUGAAAGAGAUACUCCCCUCCGUCGACCCCAUGAUUUCUGUCGAUAGGGCCCUUCUUGACUUAGGGCGCCUUGCUUUCCGUCGGGCCUUUGGGCCGGCGGAAUCCGCCGCCUGGCGUGAGUUGCUUGAUUGCGUUGCUCUGCACGAGCCGUUGGUGGAUGGGAGUCAGGACCUUGUGCGCUGGCGCCUGGAGCCUUCGGGCCAGUUCUCCACCAAGUCGUUGUACAUGGCCAUUGCCCCCUCCUCCGCCCCCCUCCCCCUAUCGUUGGUAUGGUCCGCCCGCGUCCCCCUGAAGAUUCGCAUCUUCAUGUGGCAGUGGAUUCGCGGUCGGGUCCCGUCUGGUGUGGAGGUCUGCAAGCGCAAUGGCCCGGGCACUGGUAUAUGCCCGCUCUGUGGGGUCCCUGAAGACUCGAACCACAUUUUCUUCGCUUGCGUCUCCGCCCAGUUCCUCUGGAGCUGUUUUCGCGAGGUUGUCGGUGGAAGUUGGUGCCACACCAAUUUCCCGGACUUAUUUGCUGAACUCCAGAUGUCCCCCGCGUCCUCUCGCCACAUUAGGUGGCUUGAGGUUGGGGUUCUUGCCUGGACUCUUUGGACCGUUCGCAAUAAGCUUGUGAUCCAGCGUACCCCCUUCGUCGCGCUACUGACGCUCUCUACAAACUCUCGGGUUUCUUGCAGCUUUGGCGGCCGCUUAGCCACCCCCUGGACCGGGACGCCAUCUCCGCCUUCAUCGCCGACCUCCGCUCGAUGGCCGUCCGCCUGUCGCCGCCGCCCCCUCCGCCCCCGCCGGAUCCAGACUAGACUCCUUGCGCCUGGAGUGUGUUGUUUUCUUUCUUUCUUUUGGGCUUGUUGAGUUGUGCCCUCAGCAGAACCUGUUUACUGUGUUGUGAGACUCGGGUGGUUUGUGUGUGUGAACUUGCUUCGGUUGUAUGUUUUGUGGCGGUUUGCUUUAUUUAUAAAGCGGGGCGAAAGCCUUUUUCGGUAUAAUUCAUCAGACACAUAUCAUAGAAUCAAUAUUAAAUGGAACUACAUAAAUGCAUAUCAAAUCUAGUGUUACAGCGGUAAAGAAUAUGGGGAAGAAAUUAACCAUAUUUUAAUGGAUAGCUUUGCAAGAUAGGAAAAUAGGUUAGUUCGAACAAACACCUUACAGUAUAUAAAAAUAAGCAAAGAUGAUGGUGUGGAUCUUCUUUACAGUAUCCAUGGCUACGGAAUAAACUAAAUUGAAGGAGCCUAGAUCGAAUCGCAUGAUUACUCGUCAAAAAAGAAGAUUACCAUCUGGUUUUCCUACAAAAAACAAACAAGCAAUAACCUCAAUGAACAAUCAUUCUUUCCUGUUAUACGAGAUAACUCCUGGAUUGAGGGUGGGCUAAACCAAAAAAUCUGUGAAAAUUGACAGGCUGGGUGAGGAUCAGCGUCCACCUCAUGGCAAUUGAAAUAAAUCUAACUUGAAUUUGCAGCAUCCUUGUAUAUUGACAAGCUGGGUGAGGGUUAGUAACUACGAAUGUAAGGUUUCCAACCACCCAUGUAAGAAAUCUAGCGUACCAUACAAAUUCGUUCAACAUUCGCCUUGAGCACAAUGUAAAAAUGUGAGAAGCAAAACUGAGAAGGUUAGUGUACUGCAGGUGUAUGAAUUGUUUUGAUGGAUGAGACAAAGAGCUACAAAUUUACCAUCCAUUGAAACAAGAAAACCUGACCCUGCAUCUUGCAAAUUUUGCUAGUUGCAAGUGUGUACCACUAGUAUUCAGGUCUGCACCUAGAGAAAGUUCUGAACCCUUCCACAUAGAGACCGUCAACAACUGCAGGUCAAAAGUGAAAAUCCAUAUUUUUAUUAGAACAAUUCAAGUUUAAGAAAUGACACAUUUGUGUUCUUUAGCAAGAUCAGGCCACUAAAAGGUUUAAAUUUUUGAUCUAUUCAGAGGUAUGAUCGGCCUCAAUGUCAGUGGCUUUCCUAACUCAAAAAUGAACAAAACAUUAUAGCAAUUCAGUGACAUUGCACAUUCAGAUCAUGGUUACUUGGGCUUGGAUGAUUCACACUUCUUCUUGGGGUGUGUGAUUCUUUGUUGCUUGCAGUGUGAAGCUUGUUUUUCACAUUUUAUUGUGCUCUACCCUUUCUGAUUUCCUUCUUUCUACAACAGCAGGUUCACAAUGAUGGCAUAACCAUCCUAAUGCCUUCAUUUUCUCUCACCUCAUGCCACACCAGACUACAACAUAACAGAAAAACACUGAAAAUCUUUAAUUUAGCAGCUCCUUCUCAUCCAUUAAAAUAUCUAGUGGGCAAACAUACAAAGUGGAUUAAAGAGCAAAAAAUUGUUUCCCAAUGAAUAUGUAUUUAAGUAUUGUAGAAAUUAUAUUCCAAGAGCUCAAAUACAAAACGGGUUACUGCCUCAGGUUUAUUCUAUCAGGUUAGCACUUGAGACAGACCCUUUCCAUCCCGUGAAAAUCAAAUGGACAGUAUGAAUUUGAGAACAGUGAUUCGCUUGAACCCAACAGUAAACAAACUAACUACAUAAUAAAGUACUCCCUCCGUCCGAAAAUACUUUUCAUCAAAAUGAAUAAAAAGGGAUGUAUCUAGAACUAAAAUACGUCUAGAUACAUCUCCUUUUGUUCAUUUUGAUGACAAGUAUUUCCGGACGGAGGGAAUAGUAACCUAUUCCAAAAGGAAACAAGACCAGUAUUAAAGCAUUAAAUGUGUACUCUUCUUGCCAUUGGCAAUAACAGGCUACAAGUUGCUUUCCAGCAUACUAUCACGCAAAUCAGAUUCUGAUUAACCUCCUUUAAAUUUCUGUCAGCUAAGUUGGCUAAUUGAUUUACUAAGACGAGCUCUUGCAACUAAGUCUGCCUAAAUCGGAUCAUUCCACAACUGCAAGUAGAUCUUUCACAGAUGAGACUGCUCCUAGUCACGAGAAAUCACUCGCAAGUUGGAAAAAAAUCUCAGAGCUUAGAAAGCAUACGCAUGCAGACGUCUAAAUAAAGAGACGGAGGAGGAACUUUUACGAUCCAAUUUGUAAGCAUCAGUCUCCAAGAAGGAAGAAAUCAUGGGAGAACCAGACCAAGGAGAAAAAAAAUAUUACUAGGUUAGAGAGAGAGCAGGCCGUACGGAGGAGGGCAGUCACCACCAUCUUCUUGUCGCUGGCGCCUUCUCCGACAGAGGAGGGCUGGAUUUGCAGUGGUCGGCGCCGCCGCAGCCCAAAUCGCCGUCCCAUCAGCCCCUCCACCGCGGCUGCCGCCACUGUCGCCUCCUAAUCGCCAAGUGUACGGGGGAGAGGGGGACAGGGGCGACAAAAAUCUCCGCCGAGCAUCACGUCGUCGAUCCCCACCGCUCACCGCGCCCUCCACGUUCAAAGUAGAAACCGCUCGCAGGUGAGCACCUAAUUAGCGAAGGCAUUGAGGAGUGGGCUGGCUCCUCCCAGCGUCAAGGUAAUCUUACGAAGGUACUGAUACAAUUUUACGUCAGUUGAAACCUGGCCAAG
This 4686-nucleotide long non-coding RNA is filed under the name Triticum aestivum (bread wheat). Its description in RNAcentral is "long non-coding RNA (TAES_LNC027327)". The stretch from base 3728 to 3862 matches the Rfam family "MIR1120/MIR1122 microRNA precursor family". Lineage: Eukaryota; Viridiplantae; Streptophyta; Magnoliopsida; Poales; Poaceae. The record is from RNAcentral.